This 161-nucleotide ribosomal RNA is filed under the name uncultured bacterium. RNAcentral describes it as "partial 16S ribosomal RNA". It matches the Rfam family "Bacterial small subunit ribosomal RNA", at positions 358 to 511 of the family's 1533-position model. The record is from RNAcentral.
GGAAUCUUCCACAAUGGGCGAAAGCCUGAUGGAGCAACGCCGCGUGUGUGAUGAAGGGUUUCGGCUCGUAAAACACUGUUGUAAGAGAAGAAUGACAUUGAGAGUAACUGUUCAAUGUGUGACGGUAUCUUACCAGAAAGGAACGGCUAAAUACGUGCUAG